GCGGCCCCGGAGCCCUUUAGCUUGAUCUGGGACAUCCGCCUACCUCUGAAGAUCAGGAUUUUCCUGUGGCAAUGGAUCCGUGGACGCCUCCCCUCUGGGGUUGAAGUCCUAAAGCGUAACGGCCCGGGCGAUGGGAUAUGUCCCAUCUGUGGGACGAUCGAGGAUGCUAACCACAUCUUCUUCUCGUGCUCUACUGCCCAGUUCCUGUGGGCUUGCUUCCGCGAAACGGUCGGUGGACGGUGGUGCAAUACAAACUUCCCCGACUUACUUGCGGAGCUCAACGCUUCCCCUACCCGCUACCGCCAUAUUAGAUGGCUGUGCGUUGGGGUUCUCGCCUAG
Molecule: ribosomal RNA, 339 nt
Filed under: Triticum aestivum (bread wheat)
Lineage: Eukaryota; Viridiplantae; Streptophyta; Magnoliopsida; Poales; Poaceae
Description: partial small subunit ribosomal RNA
Source: RNAcentral